ACCGGCUGGCUCGCCGAGCGCUGCCUAAAAAUCCAUCUUCUGCCGGCGGUCGCCGGCUGCUCCGUUUCUUCCUUUUUUCGAGCUCUUCAAGCUCGUUUCCUCAAUUUUUGCAUCCGAAACACUUGUAACUUGAUAUUUGGAUCUUCAACAUCCAUAUGUAGCUUUCAAAACGCUCAAACCUGAAGCAAAAUAACCAAAUCCAUACCCAAACGCAAUAUCACAAAAGAAUAUGAAACCUAAACCAAUUGAUAUCACAAUCAAGCAUAAUUCUAGCACUUUGAACACUUAAACACUCCUAAAAACAAUGCAAAAUGAGUGUUUAUCAGUAUCUAUCAAGAUAGUAGAGACUGUUAUACCCUUCAUCGCAGCUCUGUCACCUUUCAUGACUUGUAUACAACCAUAUCUUAAUGUGAAAUGACAUCCUUUAGACUCCAACAUCCCAAGAGAAAUCAAGUUCCUUUUGAGUUCUGGGAUAUACCUGACCUCUGAUAGGAUUUUGAUUGAUCCAUCUGAGAGUCUCAGCUUCACUUCACCAGUGCCUUUCACUCUGCAAGUCUGAUCAUUUCCAAGCAAAACUUGGCCAAGCUCUCCAUCUUUCAGGUUGAUGAACCAUUCUCUGUGAGGAGUCAUGUGAAAGCUGCACCCGGAGUCUAUAAUCCACUCAUCUACAACUUGUCCUCCCAUGACAUUUAGAACUUCUGCAGUCUGGACAUGCUCCACCAAAUCAGCCUCAUUUCCUUUUUGAUUUUGUUAUCCUUGCUUCUUCUUCCAUGAGAAGCAAUUUUUCUUGAGAUGUCCCUGCUUCUUGCAGAAAUGACAGAUUUUAGUUUCUUUCUCUUGAGAUGGCUUUUUGGAAUCAUUUCCCUGCUUCCCUUUUCCAAAAUUUGAUUUAACAGCUAGACUUUUACCAACUGAUGAUUCUUUCUUACUCGAAUUUGGUUUCCUUAGUUCUUUAGUUUUAAGGCCGAUUGAACCUCCUCAAGGGUGAUAGACUUUCUCUACCAAACAACAUAGCAUCUUUGAAAUUUUCAAAAGACUUAGGCAGUGAAUUCAAAAGAAUGAUCGCCUUAUUCUCAUCAUCCAGCUUGACCUCAAUGUUCUCAAGAUCAUCCAAGAUCUUAUUGAAUUCUUCCAGUUGAUCUUCGAAACCUUUUGAUUCUGAGAUCUUGAAUAAAUAUAGCUUUUGCUUGACAUAUAAGCGAUUGGUGAGAGACUUUUGCAUAUAUGUGACGCCAGGGGAUGAAGUGUGGAGUGAUCGCUGGUGCAAAAGAGGCACGGACAAGGAGCAACUCCGAUUAAGACUUCCAAGCGGAGGGGCGCAUGAAUGAACCGAAACACACCCGAACGAGAGGGAUUCUAAGAAUAUGCAGGUAUGGAACUGCAUAUUCGAGGAGAGUUUAAAUGAUUUGAUAGGUGCUACUCAUAUCAACAAGGUGCAUCUUCUUUUCUGGUGCCCACAUGGAAGAAACUCCAAGGUUAAGCGUGCUUGGCUUGGAGCAAUUUCAGGAUGGGUGACCCCCUAGGAAGUUUCUCGGAGAGCGUGCGAGUGAGGACAAAACACGCUAGAAAAGACUCGUAUUGGUCUAUGGGGACAACCGUCAAGUACGGAGCCGGGCUGUUACAGGUGGUAUUAGAGCCGAACCUCUCCCAGUACGGUGUGGUUCGGGGAUGAACCAAGCGGAAGCUGGUGGGCCUGUGACGCCCGGGGACGAAGUGCGGAGUGAUCGUCGGUGACAAAAGAGGCACAGACAAGGAGCGGCUCCGAUUAAGACUUCCAAGUGAAGGGGUGCAGGGGAUGAACCCGAAACACACCCGAACGAGAAGGAUUCUGAGAAUAUGUAGGUAUGUGACUGCAUAUUCGAGGAGAGCUUAAAUGAUUUGAUAGGUGCUACUCAUAUCAACAAGGUGCAUCUUCUUUUCUGGUGCCCAC
RNAcentral lists this long non-coding RNA (1930 nucleotides) under Salvia miltiorrhiza (redroot sage). RNAcentral describes it as "long non-coding RNA (SMIL_LNC011182)". Lineage: Eukaryota; Viridiplantae; Streptophyta; Magnoliopsida; Lamiales; Lamiaceae. The record is from RNAcentral.